AGAGUUUGAUCCUGGCUCAAAUUGAACACCGGCGGCAUGCUUUACACAUGCAAGUCGAACGGUAACAGGUCUUCGGAUGCUGACGAUUGGCGAACGGGUGAGUAAUACAUCGGAACGUGCCUAGUAGUGGGGGAUAACUACUCGAAAGAGUAGCUAAUACCGCAUGAGAUCUACGGAUGAAAGCAGGGGACCUUCGGGCCUUGUGCUACUAGAGCGGCUGAUGGCAGAUUAGGUAGUUGGUGGGGUAAAGGCUUACCAAGCCUGCGAUCUGUAGCUGGUCUGAGAGGACGACCAGCCACACUGGGACUGAGACACGGCCCAGACUCCUACGGGAGGCAGCAGUGGGGAAUUUUGGACAAUGGGCGAAAGCCUGAUCCAGCAAUGCCGCGUGCAGGAUGAAGGCCCUCGGGUUGUAAACUGCUUUUGUACGGAACGAAAAGCCUGGGGCUAAUAUCCCCGGGUCAUGACGGUACCGUAAGAAUAAGCACCGGCUAACUACGUGCCAGCAGCCGCGGUAAUACGUAGGGUGCAAGCGUUAAUCGGAAUUACUGGGCGUAAAGCGUGCGCAGGCGGUUUUGUAAGACAGUGGUGAAAUCCCCGGGCUCAACCUGGGAACUGCCAUUGUGACUGCAAGGCUAGAGUGCGGCAGAGGGGGAUGGAAUUCCGCGUGUAGCAGUGAAAUGCGCAGAUAUGCGGAGGAACACCGAUGGCGAAGGCAAUCCCCUGGGCCUGCACUGACGCUCAUGCACGAAAGCGUGGGGAGCAAACAGGAUUAGAUACCCUGGUAGUCCACGCCCUAAACGAUGUCAACUGGUUGUUGGGUCUUAACUGACUCAGUAACGAAGCUAACGCGUGAAGUUGACCGCCUGGGGAGUACGGCCGCAAGGUUGAACUCAA
Molecule: ribosomal RNA, 897 nt
Filed under: uncultured bacterium
Lineage: Bacteria
Description: bacterial SSU rRNA
Rfam family: Bacterial small subunit ribosomal RNA
Source: RNAcentral